This 42-nucleotide ribosomal RNA is filed under the name Tetranychus urticae (two-spotted spider mite). Its description in RNAcentral is "partial 28S ribosomal RNA". Lineage: Eukaryota; Metazoa; Arthropoda; Arachnida; Trombidiformes; Tetranychidae. The record is from RNAcentral.
AUCUCAGAUCAGGUGAGGUUACCCCCUGAAUUUAAAGCAUAU